Molecule: ribosomal RNA, 877 nt
Filed under: Samsoniella neopupicola
Lineage: Eukaryota; Fungi; Ascomycota; Sordariomycetes; Hypocreales; Cordycipitaceae
Description: Samsoniella sp. WC-2022d partial large subunit ribosomal RNA
Rfam family: Eukaryotic large subunit ribosomal RNA
Source: RNAcentral
UACGGAGUAGAUCAACAGGGAUUGCCCCAGUAACGGCGAGUGAAGCGGCAACAGCUCAAAUUUGAAAUCUGGCCUCCGGGUCCGAGUUGUAAUUUGUAGAGGAUGCUUUUGGCGAGGUGCCUUCCGAGUUCCCUGGAACGGGACGCCAUAGAGGGUGAGAGCCCCGUCUGGUCGGACACCGAGCCUCUGUAAAGCUCCUUCGACGAGUCGAGUAGUUUGGGAAUGCUGCUCAAAAUGGGAGGUAUAUGUCUUCUAAAGCUAAAUAUUGGCCAGAGACCGAUAGCGCACAAGUAGAGUGAUCGAAAGAUGAAAAGCACUUUGAAAAGAGGGUUAAAAAGUACGUGAAAUUGUUGAAAGGGAAGCGCCUAUGACCAGACUUGGGCCCGGUGAAUCAUCCAGCGUUCUCGCUGGUGCACUUUGCCGGGCACAGGCCAGCAUCAGUUUGGCGCGGGGGAAAAAGGUUUUGGGAAUGUGGCUCCCUCGGGAGUGUUAUAGCCCAUUGCGUAAUACCCUGCGCCGGACUGAGGUACGCGCAUCGCAAGGAUGCUGGCGUAAUGGUCAUCAGCGACCCGUCUUGAAACACGGACCAAGGAGUCGUCUUCGUAUGCGAGUGUUCGGGUGUCAAACCCCUACGCGUAAUGAAAGUGAACGCAGGUGAGAGCUUCGGCGCAUCAUCGACCGAUCCUGAUGUUCUCGGAUGGAUUUGAGUAAGAGCAUACGGGGCCGGACCCGAAGAAGGUGAACUAUGCCUGUAUAGGGUGAAGCCAGAGGAAACUCUGGUGGAGGCUCGCAGCGGUUCUGACGUGCGAAUCGAUCGUCAAAUAUGGGCAUGGGGGCGAAAGACUAAUCGAACCUUCUAGUAGCUGGUUUCCGCCGA